Molecule: ribosomal RNA, 440 nt
Filed under: uncultured bacterium
Lineage: Bacteria
Description: partial 16S ribosomal RNA
Rfam family: Bacterial small subunit ribosomal RNA
Source: RNAcentral
CCUAGGGGAGGCAGCAGUGGGGAAUAUUGCACAAUGGGGGAAACCCUGAUGCAGCGACGCCGCGUGAGUGAAGAAGUAUUUCGGUACGUAAAGCUCUAUCAGCAGGGAAGAAAAUGACGGUACCUGACUAAGAAGCCCCGGCUAACUACGUGCCAGCAGCCGCGGUAAUACGUAGGGGGCAAGCGUUAUCCGGAUUUACUGGGUGUAAAGGGCGCGUAGACGGCAGCGCAAGUCUGGAGUGAAAUCCCAUGGCUUAACCAUGGAAGUGCUUUGGAAACUGUGCAGCGAGAGUGCAGGAGAGGUAAGCGGAAUUCGUAGUGUAGCGGUGAAAUGCGUAGAUAUACGGAGGAACACCAGUGGCGAAGGCGGCCUGCUGGACAUUAACUGACGCUGAGGCGCGAAAGCGUGGGGAGCAAACAGGAUUAGAUACCCUUGUAGUC